CCUACGGGUGGCAGCAGUCGGGAAUAUUGCACAAUGGGGGAAACCCUGAUGCAGCGACGCCGCGUGGAGGAUGGAGGGUUUCGGAUUGUAAAACCCUUUUGGUAGAGAAGAAAAUGACGGUAUCUGACCAAGAAGCACCGGCUAACUACGUGCCAGCAGCCGCGGUAAUACGGAGGGGGCAAGCGUUAUCCGGAUUCACUGGGCGUAAAGAGCGCGCAGGCGGGAAAGCAAGUCAGAUGUGAAAGCCAAGGGCUUAACCCUAGGACUGCUGUUGACACUGGUAGUCUAGAGUAAGGGAGAGGCAGGUGGAAUGCGUGGUGUAGAGGUGAAAUGCGUAGAUAUCAAGAGGAACACUCGUGGCGAAGGCGGGCUGCUGGAACGUAACUGACGCUGAGGCGCGAAGGCGUGGGGAGCGAACAGGAUUAGAUACCCUAGUAGUC
RNAcentral lists this ribosomal RNA (440 nucleotides) under uncultured bacterium. RNAcentral's name for it is "partial 16S ribosomal RNA". It matches the Rfam family "Bacterial small subunit ribosomal RNA", at positions 338 to 795 of the family's 1533-position model. The record is from RNAcentral.